Molecule: ribosomal RNA, 458 nt
Filed under: uncultured bacterium
Lineage: Bacteria
Description: partial 16S ribosomal RNA
Rfam family: Bacterial small subunit ribosomal RNA
Source: RNAcentral
GAUAAACGCUGGCGGCGUGCAUGAGACAUGCAAGUCGAACGAAGGAUCGGGCUUGCUCGAUCCUUAGUGGCGGACGGCUGAGUAACGCGUAGGUGACCUACCCCGAGGUGGGGAAUAACUGCCCGAAAGGGCGGCUAAUACCGCAUGUGGUCGCACGUUCAUUCGUGCGAGUAAAGCCGCAAGGCGCUUCGGGAGGGGCCUGCGUCCGAUUAGCUCGUUGGUGGGGUAAUGGCUUACCAAGGCGACGAUCGGUAGGUGGUCUGAGAGGACGAUCACCCAGACUGGGACUGAGACACGGCCCAGACUCCUACGGGAGGCAGCAGUCGGGAAUUUUGCUCAAUGGGGGAAACCCUGAAGCAGCAACGCCGCGUGAGGGAUGAAGGCCUUCGGGUUGUAAACCUCUUUUGUCAGGGACGAUGAUGACGGUACCUGGCGAAUAAGCCACGGCUAACUACGUG